This 482-nucleotide ribosomal RNA is filed under the name uncultured bacterium. Its description in RNAcentral is "partial 16S ribosomal RNA". It matches the Rfam family "Bacterial small subunit ribosomal RNA", at positions 30 to 507 of the family's 1533-position model. The record is from RNAcentral.
AUUGAACGCUGGCGGCAUGCUUUACACAUGCAAGUCGAACGGCAGCGCGGGGCAACCUGGCGGCGAGUGGCGAACGGGUGAGUAAUACAUCGGAACGUACCCAGAAGUGGGGGAUAACGUAGCGAAAGUUACGCUAAUACCGCAUACGUUCCACGGAAGAAAGUGGGGGACCUUCGGGCCUCAUGCUUUUGGAGCGGCCGAUGUCUGAUUAGCUAGUUGGUGAGGUAAAGGCUCACCAAGGCGACGAUCAGUAGCUGGUCUGAGAGGACGACCAGCCACACUGGGACUGAGACACGGCCCAGACUCCUACGGGAGGCAGCAGUGGGGAAUUUUGGACAAUGGGCGCAAGCCUGAUCCAGCAAUGCCGCGUGAGUGAAGAAGGCCUUCGGGUUGUAAAGCUCUUUUGUCAGGGAAGAAACGGCUGAGGAUAAUACCUUCGGCUAAUGACGGUACCUGAAGAAUAAGCACCGGCUAACUACGUG